Long non-coding RNA from Vidua macroura (Pin-tailed whydah), 457 nucleotides. RefSeq lists it as uncharacterized. The transcript has 3 exons. The record is from RefSeq and is a predicted model, not a curated record. NCBI's taxonomy places the organism in Eukaryota, Metazoa, Chordata, Aves, Passeriformes, Viduidae.
CUUCCCUGCCCCGGUUUGAUUCGUGGUGCGCCUCCGCCUAUUCCCGGUCGUGUCCCAGGUAUACCCGGUUAAGUCCCAGGUGUGCACCUCAAUCACCUCAAAGCCAUUAAAGAAAGAACGCCAGGAUGGUUCUAAAAAGCUGAAGUGGCUGCAUGAAGCUGGAUUUUCACCAAAGGCCAUGAGUUCAUGUUUUUAAGUGUUUACUGCAAGUUAUUUUGACAGAAGUUGGUGAAACUCUGCAUAAAGAACCUCUUUGGUGACAAAUUGUUUUCUAACGUUUCAAUUUCAGGACAAAAAUGGCAAGAAGGUGUUAAAGAUUGGUGCUGGAAUAUUAAAUAUUAUGCAGACAUAACCAUGUGGAUCCAAUUCACCUUGAUAAUUAUCCCAUUUUCAGAUACUUUCAGAUAAACCACAGGCUUGUCAUACUUAAUAAACCAGAUAUUCCCUCAUGAUUAAA